AGACGUCUACAUUAGACUACCCGGGUAGUCCCAGCCGUAAACUAUGCGCGUUAGGUGUAUCGGUGACCACGAGUCACCGAGGUGCCGAAGGGAAACCGUGAAACGUGCCGCCUGGGAAGUACGGUCGCAAGGCUGAAACUUAAAGGAAUUGGCGGGGAGCACCACAACGGGUGGAGCCUGCGGUUUAAUUGGACUCAACGCCGGGAAGCUCACCGGAUAAGACAGCGGAAUGAUUGCCGGGCUGAAGACUCUGCAUGACUAGCUG
RNAcentral lists this ribosomal RNA (265 nucleotides) under uncultured archaeon. RNAcentral describes it as "partial 16S ribosomal RNA". It matches the Rfam family "Archaeal small subunit ribosomal RNA", at positions 717 to 982 of the family's 1478-position model. The record is from RNAcentral.